RNAcentral lists this long non-coding RNA (558 nucleotides) under Phascolarctos cinereus (koala). RNAcentral's name for it is "lncRNA (ENSPCIG00000034087.1)". The record is from RNAcentral. Lineage: Eukaryota; Metazoa; Chordata; Mammalia; Diprotodontia; Phascolarctidae.
UGGAUCUCAGUUCUUGAGUGGAGGGAAGAGAAACAAAUACAAAUGCUGAAGAAAUCCAGAAUUUGACCGGGGAGCACCCUUCAUAAGGAUAGCUGAAGAAAGAAGACUGGCUUCCACAAAAGCCCAGAGUCAACACCAUCCAGUUGCAAGGAAACACCAGUUUGGAGAUGGAAAGCUUUAGGUCACAGAGUGUAUCAUAGAAAAAGUCUGUGAUAUCAACCUGUAUGGUCAGAGACACUGGAACACAACUGAAACCACUUUUGGAAAGGCUACCAUCUCUGUGGGGAAAGAGCUCAAUAGAAGUUCUCCAUGUCCAAAUUCCCAUAAAGGACUUACAUACAAACAUGUCUACCUACCACCAACUUGUUUCUAGAAAGAUUGGGGGCCUGGAUGCUGAAGAAACCCCAAGACUCCAUAUGGAAUCAUGAUAAGACACUUCCUUUACGUCUCUCCACAGAUGCAAGGCAGCUCCUGCCCUGCAGAAGGCGUAGGUAUCUACUUAUUCUGUAAAUAACAGUAGAUUUUUUCCUGAAGUUUCUGCUUGGUGGCAUAGAAUUU